This is a long non-coding RNA of Tyto alba (common barn owl), 1027 nucleotides long. RefSeq lists it as uncharacterized. The transcript is spliced from 5 exons. Lineage: Eukaryota; Metazoa; Chordata; Aves; Strigiformes; Tytonidae. The record is from RefSeq and is a predicted model, not a curated record.
GGCACCUUCCUGACCGGGGCAGCGCUACCGGACAGGCCCCUCUGGUGCUGCAAGGUCAGCUGCUGCGAGUCGGGGACGGCGUACAGGGCUUGGGGAGGGUUUGUCUGCGUAAACCGGCUUCCUUCUCGGCAGAAGUUGUUGCACCAAUGAGCAAGGCAAAUGAUGCAACACCUGAGGCUGUUGACGCGUUGAACUGAUCUCACAGCUGACUAACGAGGAGGCAGACAAGCAGAGCCUCUCCACAGGUAACAUCCAGUUUGGGCCUGUGUUGAAGAAUAGAAGGGACUCCAGUCUUGCUGCUCUACCUUGGAGCUUGCUCCCAGCCCAUAUAACCACAGACUCCCAGCAAAACUCUUUGGACACUAGAGUGCUUGCUUCAUUCAGUGAACAGGAUAGACCUGCUUCACAUGUGGGUCACCUUCCUGUGAAGAAGGCUGUUCCCUAUACAACACUGCCUCAUUAAUUGUAGAGCUCUCACAGUCCUCACCUGGUCCUCCUGAAAAAUCACUGGAUAAAGGGAUAUUAUCUGGAUAAAGUCCUGCACAUCAUGAUCUGACCCCAUAGCUGAUCCUGCUUCAAGAGGAGGUGAGACUAGAGACCUCCUGAUCCCUUUGAACUUGAAUUAUCAUGUGAUACUAUGAAGUCAAGGUGCUUUUCUCCAUUUCUGAAUAGCCUCCAUUACAAUAUGGGAUUUUAUUAAUUGCUUUGUACCAAGUAGUUUUGGUUUAUUGCACUGCCAUAAUUUUACCUCUACAGUACAGGAAUCCUUUAGACAAAAAAGGCAACCAAGCAUACAUCUCAUAAAACCAUAAAAUAUAGCCAGGGUUAUUGUUAUGCGGAAUGUGGUUGUUACAAAUUCCACAUAAACCAGGAGUUUAUGCCAAGAGCUCUCCAAAGUACUGUGCCUGGCCUUCCAAGAAUCUGGAAAUGUUAACACUAAGGCUAAGGAAGCUUGAUUUUUUAUUUUUUUUUUUUCCUCCUCCCUGUAAACAUGAUGAUAUUUCUCUGGGUCCUGCCUUCAAGUCCU